RNAcentral lists this transfer RNA (74 nucleotides) under Callorhinchus milii (elephant shark). RNAcentral's name for it is "tRNA-Val (AAC) (tRNA-Val-AAC-6-1)". It matches the Rfam family "tRNA". Rfam says of the family: Transfer RNA (tRNA) molecules are approximately 80 nucleotides in length. Their secondary structure includes four short double-helical elements and three loops (D, anti-codon, and T loops). Further hydrogen bonds mediate the characteristic L-shaped molecular structure. tRNAs have two regions of fundamental functional importance: the anti-codon, which is responsible for specific mRNA codon recognition, and the 3' end, to which the tRNAs corresponding amino acid is attached (by aminoacyl-tRNA synthetases). tRNAs cope with the degeneracy of the genetic code in two manners: having more than one tRNA (with a specific anti-codon) for a particular amino acid; and 'wobble' base-pairing, i.e. permitting non-standard base-pairing at the 3rd anti-codon position. The record is from RNAcentral. Lineage: Eukaryota; Metazoa; Chordata; Chondrichthyes; Chimaeriformes; Callorhinchidae.
GUUUCCGUAGUGUAGUGGUUAUCACAUUCGCCAAACACGCGAAAGGUUCCCAGGUUCGAAACCUGGCGGAAACA